CGACCGGCGCACGGGUGAGUAACGCGUAUGCAACUUACCUAUCAGAGGGGGAUAGCCCGGCGAAAGUCGGAUUAAUACCCCAUAAAACAGGGGUCCCGCAUGGGAAUAUUUGUUAAAGAUUCAUCGCUGAUAGAUAGGCAUGCGUUUCAUUAGGCAGUUGGCGGGGUAACGGCCCACCAAACCGACGAUGGAUAGGGGUUCUGAGAGGAAGGUCCCCCACAUUGGUACUGAGACACGGACCAA
This 243-nucleotide ribosomal RNA is filed under the name uncultured bacterium. RNAcentral describes it as "partial 16S ribosomal RNA". It matches the Rfam family "Bacterial small subunit ribosomal RNA", at positions 92 to 334 of the family's 1533-position model. The record is from RNAcentral.